RNAcentral lists this transfer RNA (66 nucleotides) under bovine gut metagenome. The stretch from base 5 to 62 matches the Rfam family "tRNA", at positions 8 to 63 of the family's 71-position model. Rfam says of the family: Transfer RNA (tRNA) molecules are approximately 80 nucleotides in length. Their secondary structure includes four short double-helical elements and three loops (D, anti-codon, and T loops). The record is from RNAcentral.
GGCUUAGCUCAGUUGGCAGAGCAGCUGAUUUGUAAUCAGCAGGUCGUCGGUUCGAAUCCGUCCGCC